This is a long non-coding RNA of Gasterosteus aculeatus aculeatus (three-spined stickleback), 1078 nucleotides long. The record is from Ensembl. Lineage: Eukaryota; Metazoa; Chordata; Actinopteri; Perciformes; Gasterosteidae.
AAUUAGUUCAUUCGCAUCCAGGAACACACACAAAGAUUAAAAAGAAUCAGGAAUCUUUAUUAGUGUAAACCCUGAUGCCUCACAUCUCAACUCGGUUGAACUGCUGAAAAGUUCUCAGACUGCAAAUCCUCCAUUUCCUCCAUUCUGACGCUGGAUUGAAGCAGUACUUGGACCAUGAUAUCUGAUCAUGUUUGCCAGUUGGUUAUAGGUGGCGUUCGGUCAGUGUGAUGCCGUUUCCGCCCUGCGGGCCACACAUCCCGCCUACGCGCCCACCGAUGGAAAGCCUUCGGGUCCCUCUUUGUCUCUGACUGCCACUUCCUUCCUCGCUGCCCGCCUUCCUCUCCUCCGCUCCCCGGCCGGCCUGGUUGUGUCCUGAGCCCAGAGACGGCUGGCCUGCGGGUGUUGUGAGGCCCCCGCUGAGCAUCCACACAACCUCCUUUCUUCUCGUGCCUCCCUCAGAUCGUCUCUGUCUCCAUCCUCCUCUUUGUUUUGAAACCACGGUUUCAGAGACAGCGCAACAAUAGGCGGCAUCGCGUGACGAGUGCUCUGCUUUCUCUCCGAGCACUUCUCCAACAGUGUUACGCAAAGCGCACACACACACACACACACACACACACACACACACACACCGAGGAGGACCGAUACCAUCACGCUUUAAUGAUAAUGCAUCCAAUUAGCCGGGAAGUGGGAGCAGAAUGGGGAAGAAAACAUCAAUAUAAGGUCUGCCAAUUUUAUUUGUAUUUUCUCCGAUGAGGCCACAUUUGAAUACUUUUGUAGACAUGAAGAGAAAAUAAUUAGACAUUUCAACGUCCUUCAAGACAAGUCCAAAAGAAACAUUCUGUGUUCCAGAGUUGAUAUUCCCCACAGAAGCUUAGUCCUUAGUUUAAAUAACACUUAAAAGUACAGAACCCGGCUGUAUUACGAAAUAUUUUGCUCCUUAAACCAUAAAUGAACACACUAAAUAAUACCAAUACUAUUUAAUUAACGCCAUUUAACACAGAAAACCUUCCUAUUGAUCUCAUGACGUCCUCUCUGUACACGCAUGAAGUUAAUUUAAAUAAAUAAUACAACUUUUCAC